UACAGAGGGUGCAAGCGUUAAUCGGAAUUACUGGGCGUAAAGCGUGCGUAGACGGUUACAUAAGUCGGGUGUGAAAGCCCCGGGCUCAACCUGGGAAUUGCAUUCGAGACUGCGUAGCUAGGGUGCGGAAGAGGGAAGCGGAAUUUCCGGUGUAGCGGUGAAAUGCGUAGAUAUGCGGAGGAACACCGAUGGCGAAGGCAAUCCCCUGGGCCUGCACUGACGCUCAUGCACGAAAGCGUGGGGAGCAAACAGG
Molecule: ribosomal RNA, 253 nt
Filed under: uncultured bacterium
Lineage: Bacteria
Description: partial 16S ribosomal RNA
Rfam family: Bacterial small subunit ribosomal RNA
Source: RNAcentral